RNAcentral lists this ribosomal RNA (253 nucleotides) under uncultured bacterium. RNAcentral's name for it is "partial 16S ribosomal RNA". It matches the Rfam family "Bacterial small subunit ribosomal RNA", at positions 524 to 776 of the family's 1533-position model. The record is from RNAcentral.
UACGGGGGGGGCAAGCGUUGUUCGGAAUUACUGGGCGUAAAGGGCUCGUAGGCGGCCAACUAAGUCAGACGUGAAAUCCCUCGGCUUAACCGGGGAACUGCAUCUGAUACUGGAUGGCUUGAAUUCGGGAGAGGGAUGCGGAAUUCCAGGUGUAGCGGUGAAAUGCGUAGAUAUCUGGAGGAAUACCGGUGGCGAAGGCGGCAUCCUGGACCGAGAUUGACACUGAUGAGCGAAAGCCAGGGGAGCAAACGGG